AAAUUGAAGAGUUUGAUCAUGGCUCAGAUUGAACGCUGGCGGCAGGCCUAACACAUGCAAGUCGAACGGUAACAGGAAGCAGCUUGCUGCUUCGCUGACGAGUGGCGGACGGGUGAGUAAUGUCUGGGAAACUGCCUGAUGGAGGGGGAUAACUACUGGAAACGGUAGCUAAUACCGCAUAACGUCGCAAGACCAAAGAGGGGGACCUUCGGGCCUCUUGCCAUCGGAUGUGCCCAGAUGGGAUUAGCUUGUUGGUGGGGUAACGGCUCACCAAGGCGACGAUCCCUAGCUGGUCUGAGAGGAUGACCAGCCACACUGGAACUGAGACACGGUCCAGACUCCUACGGGAGGCAGCAGUGGGGAAUAUUGCACAAUGGGCGCAAGCCUGAUGCAGCCAUGCCGCGUGUAUGAAGAAGGCCUUCGGGUUGUAAAGUACUUUCAGCGGGGAGGAAGGGAGUAAAGUUAAUACCUUUGCUCAUUGACGUUACCCGCAGAAGAAGCACCGGCUAACUCCGUGCCAGCAGCCGCGGUAAUACGGAGGGU
Molecule: ribosomal RNA, 543 nt
Filed under: Escherichia coli
Lineage: Bacteria; Pseudomonadati; Pseudomonadota; Gammaproteobacteria; Enterobacterales; Enterobacteriaceae
Description: bacterial SSU rRNA
Rfam family: Bacterial small subunit ribosomal RNA
Source: RNAcentral